AUGGCCGCCGCCGACCGCCUCUCCGCCCUCUCCGACGAACUCCUGCAGCAUCUCCUGGCCUUCGCGUCGGCCAAGGAGGCCGCGGCCAGCGCCGCCCUCUCGCGCCGGUGGCGCCCGCUGUGGCGCCGCGCGAGCGCCCUCAACCUCGACAGCAGGCCCUACUCGCGCCAGCACUCCCACGACGACCGCUUCGACGAGUUCUUCCGCGACGGGAAGGCCGCCCUCCGCGGCCGCCUUGGGACGCCGCCCAAGAGGCUCACGCUCCUCCUGAUGGAAGACGCCUACCUCGUCGGCGACAGCUGGCACUACUACAUGGACGACGACGCGGAGCUGGAGUACGACGCCCGGGUCGCCGGCCUCCUCGCCGACCCCGCCGUGGCCGCGCUCGAGGAGCUCCGCAUCGCCUGCGACCGUUGCUACAGCUUCAUGUAUGUCCCGCCGCUGGCCUCCCUGCCGUGCGCCGCCACCACUCUCCGGGUGCUGGAGAUCCACAACUGCAACCUCGAGCCGCCGUCGACGGAGCCAUCCGCGCGCCUCGCUUUCCCGUGCCUCGCGGAUCUGUCGCUGCGCAGCUGCACUUACCUGCAGGGCUAUCUCCAGACCGUGGUCGAUGCGGCGCCGGCGCUGAACAGGCUUGCGCUGGUGGACGUCACCAAUAAGCCGCCGAAGCCGGCCGGUUCCGGCAAGAGAGAUCGCUACGAGGAAUUCAAGUCUUUCAACCUCUGCCUCCGCUCCCCGACGGUCACCACCUUGGUGCUUGAGACCAAUAAUGACUCCCGGGACGAGCUGGACGACUCCCGCAACAUCGGCAUACAGCUCGACAUGCCAACACUUUGCUCCUUCCGCUACAAGGGGUUCCCCGUCAAGUUCUCGCUGAUAUCGCCGGCGCCGGGGCUGGCACGAGUCGACCUCGACACCUGUCGCCGCGAGAGAAGCUUCUAUAAGUGUGAGCCCGCAGCUCCCAUGCUCGCGAACUUCUCCAGCACGAGGGCACUUAAGCUGCACCUCAUCACCAUCGAGGAGAUCAUCCUCGACCCCAAUUACGAAUCUGGCGACUAUAAUGGUGUCCAAAACCCUGGCGAGGCCACCAUCCUGCCGACCUUCCCGAACCUCAAGCUCCUCGAGAUAGACGGGACGUUCAAAUAUCAGAAUAGCAACACGGCGCUGGCAUUGGCCACGCUGCUCCGCGCCUGCCCGACCAUGUCUGAGCUCCGGCUCAGGCUACACAUGGCGUACGACUACCACUACGAUCGCAAGACCGAGGAACGAGAAGCCGGAGGCCCGUUCGCCCAGUCGGUGGAAAGGUUCAAGAUGCUCGCGUCCAUGUGCACCGAACACCGCGACGACGUGGAGCUCGCCACGGUCUCGGACCUCCCAGGCCCCUUCGCCAACAGUUGCACGUCGUUUGGCUGCCUGAGGACGAGCCUGCGAAAGGUGACCCUGCAGUUCAAGUCAAAGGAGCUCAACUGCUUCCCGGUGCAGCUGGCCAAGUUCCUCGUGGAGAACGCCAUGGUGCUCGAGGAGAUGCACGUUGAGGAUGGAGACCAGUUUUGGCCAGACCACCUCUGGGACAAGCUAGCGAGAUGGAGGGCAGACGCAUUCCGGAGGAGGAACCUGCCGGAGACGGCCGCCGGCUUUCGAGUUUACCAGCAAGCUAAUCAUGUGGAAGAUCUUAUGGUACAUUAUUGA
RNAcentral lists this ribosomal RNA (1689 nucleotides) under Triticum aestivum (bread wheat). RNAcentral's name for it is "partial small subunit ribosomal RNA". The record is from RNAcentral. Lineage: Eukaryota; Viridiplantae; Streptophyta; Magnoliopsida; Poales; Poaceae.